RNAcentral lists this ribosomal RNA (68 nucleotides) under Ligilactobacillus animalis. Its description in RNAcentral is "Lactobacillus animalis partial 16S ribosomal RNA". It matches the Rfam family "Bacterial small subunit ribosomal RNA", at positions 1 to 66 of the family's 1533-position model. Lineage: Bacteria; Bacillati; Bacillota; Bacilli; Lactobacillales; Lactobacillaceae. The record is from RNAcentral.
UUUAAAUUGAGAGUUUGAUCCUGGCUCAGGAUGAACGCUGGCGGCGUGCCUAAUACAUGCAAGUCGAA